Molecule: transfer RNA, 94 nt
Filed under: Shewanella eurypsychrophilus
Lineage: Bacteria; Pseudomonadati; Pseudomonadota; Gammaproteobacteria; Alteromonadales; Shewanellaceae
Also listed under: 1 other name
Description: Shewanella sp. YLB-08 tRNA-Gly
Source: RNAcentral
GCGACAUUAGGCUCAGUUGACUCUUUGUUUAGAGCAAAAGGGCGGUACCUUGCCAAGGUAUAGGUCAUCGGUUCGAACCCGAUAUGUCGCUCCA